UACGGAGGGUGCAAGCGUUAUCCGGAUUCACUGGGUUUAAAGGGUGCGUAGGUGGGCAGUUAAGUCAGUGGUGAAAUCUCCGGGCUCAACCCGGAAACUGCCAUUGAUACUAUCUGUCUUGAAUAUCGUGGAGGUAAGCGGAAUAUGUCAUGUAGCGGUGAAAUGCUUAGAUAUGACACAGAACACCCAUUGCGAAGGCAGCUCGCUAAGCCACCAUUGACGCUGAGGCACGAAAGCGUGGGUAGCAAACAGG
RNAcentral lists this ribosomal RNA (253 nucleotides) under uncultured bacterium. RNAcentral describes it as "partial 16S ribosomal RNA". It matches the Rfam family "Bacterial small subunit ribosomal RNA", at positions 524 to 776 of the family's 1533-position model. The record is from RNAcentral.